GAUGAACGCUGGCGGCGUGCCUAAUACAUGCAAGUCGAGCGAACGGACGAGAAGCUUGCUUCUCUGAUGUUAGCGGCGGACGGGUGAGUAACACGUGGAUAACCUACCUAUAAGACUGGGAUAACUUCGGGAAACCGGAGCUAAUACCGGAUGAUAUUUUGAACCGCAUGGUUCAAAAGUGAAAGACGGUCUUGCUGUCACUUAUAGAUGGAUCCGCGCUGCAUUAGCUAGUUGGUAAGGUAACGGCUUACCAAGGCAACGAUGCAUAGCCGACCUGAGAGGGUGAUCGGCCACACGAGAACUGAGACGCGGUCCAGACUCCUACGAGAGGCAGCAGUAGGGAAUCUUCCGCAAUGGGCGAAAGCCUGACGGAGCAACGCCGCGUGAGUGAUGAAGGUCUUCGGAUCGUAAAACUCUGUUAUUAGGGAAGAACAUAUGUGUAAGUAACUGUGCACAUCUUGACGGUACCUAAUCAGAAAGCAACGGCUAACUACGUG
Molecule: ribosomal RNA, 497 nt
Filed under: uncultured bacterium
Lineage: Bacteria
Description: partial 16S ribosomal RNA
Rfam family: Bacterial small subunit ribosomal RNA
Source: RNAcentral